UGGGUCGGGGUUUCGUACGUAGCA
This 24-nucleotide non-coding RNA is filed under the name Gallus gallus (chicken). RNAcentral also lists the same sequence under 7 other names. Lineage: Eukaryota; Metazoa; Chordata; Aves; Galliformes; Phasianidae. The record is from RNAcentral.